RNAcentral lists this ribosomal RNA (433 nucleotides) under uncultured bacterium. Its description in RNAcentral is "partial 16S ribosomal RNA". It matches the Rfam family "Bacterial small subunit ribosomal RNA", at positions 29 to 507 of the family's 1533-position model. The record is from RNAcentral.
AACGAACGCUGGGGGCAUGCCUAACACAUGCAAGUCGAACGAGACCUUCGGGUCUAGUGGCGCACGGGUGCGUAACGCGUGGGAACCUGCCCUUAGGUUCGGAAUAACUCCCCGAAAGGGGUGCUAAUACCGGAUAAUGUCUUCGGACCAAAGAUUUAUCGCCUUUGGAUGGGCCCGCGUUGGAUUAGCUAGUUGGUAGGGUAAAAGCCUACCAAGGCGACGAUCCAUAGCUGGUCUGAGAGGAUGAUCAGCCACACUGGGACUGAGACACGGCCCAGACUCCUACGGGAGGCAGCAGUGGGGAAUAUUGGACAAUGGGCGAAAGCCUGAUCCAGCAAUGCCGCGUGAGUGAUGAAGGCCUUAGGGUUGUAAAGCCCUUUUACCCGGGAUGAUAAUGACAGUACCGGGAGAAUAAGCUCCGGCUAACUCCGUG